AUUGAACGCUGGCGGCAGGCCUAACACAUGCAAGUCGAACGAGUGGCGGACGGGUGUGUAAUGUCUGGGAAACUGCCUGAUGGCGGGGGUUAAUUACUGGAAACGGUAGCUAAUACCGCAUACCAUCGGAUGUGCCCAGAUGGGAUUAGCUAGUAGGUGGGGUAAAGGCUCACCAAGGCAACGAUCCCUAGCUGGUCUGAGAGGAUGACCAGCCACACUGGAACUGAGACACGGUCCAGACUCCUACGGGAGGCAGCAGUGGGGAAUAUUGCGCAAUGGGCGCAAGCCUGAUGGAGCAAUGCCGCGUGAAUGAAGAAGGCCUUCGGGUUGUAAAGUACUUUCAGCGGGGAGGCGGUACCCGCGGAGGAAGCACCGGCUAACUCCGUGCCAGCAGCCGCGGUAAUAC
This 406-nucleotide ribosomal RNA is filed under the name uncultured bacterium. Its description in RNAcentral is "partial 16S ribosomal RNA". It matches the Rfam family "Bacterial small subunit ribosomal RNA", at positions 30 to 526 of the family's 1533-position model. The record is from RNAcentral.